RNAcentral lists this ribosomal RNA (424 nucleotides) under uncultured Clostridium sp. Its description in RNAcentral is "bacterial SSU rRNA". It matches the Rfam family "Bacterial small subunit ribosomal RNA", at positions 354 to 794 of the family's 1533-position model. Lineage: Bacteria; Bacillati; Bacillota; Clostridia; Eubacteriales; Clostridiaceae. The record is from RNAcentral.
UGGGGGGAUAUUGGACAAUGGGGGGCAACCCUGAUCCAGCGACGCCGCGUGAGGGAAGAAGGUUUUCGGAUUGUAAACCUCUGCUGACGGAGAAAAAGAUGAUGGUAUCCGUUUAGAAAGCCACGGCUAACUACGUGCCAGCAGCCGCGGUAAUACGUAGGGGGCAAGCGUUAUCCGGAUUUACUGGGUGUAAAGGGAGCGUAGACGGCAAUGCAAGUCUGAAGUGAAAGGCCGGGGCUCAACCCCGGGACUGCUUUGGAAACUGUGUAGCUGGAGUACAGGAGAGGUAAGUGGAAUUCCUAGUGUAGCGGUGAAAUGCGUAGAUAUUAGGAGGAACACCAGUGGCGAAGGCGGCUUACUGGACUGUAACUGACGUUGAGGCUCGAAAGCGUGGGGAGCAAACAGGAUUAGAUACCCUGGUAGU